RNAcentral lists this ribosomal RNA (497 nucleotides) under uncultured bacterium. RNAcentral describes it as "partial 16S ribosomal RNA". It matches the Rfam family "Bacterial small subunit ribosomal RNA", at positions 28 to 507 of the family's 1533-position model. The record is from RNAcentral.
GACGAACGCUGGCGGCGUGCCUAAUACAUGCAAGUUGAGCGCUGAAGGUUGGUACUUGUACCAACUGGAUGAGCAGCGAACGGGUGAGUAACGCGUGGGGAAUCUGCCUUUGAGCGGGGGACAACAUUUGGAAACGAAUGCUAAUACCGCAUAAAAACUUUAAACACAAGUUUUAAGUUUGAAAGAUGCAUUUGCAUCACUCAAAGAUGAUCCCGCGUUGUAUUAGCUAGUUGGUGAGGUAAAGGCUCACCAAGGCGAUGAUACAUAGCCGACCUGAGAGGGUGAUCGGCCACAUUGGGACUGAGACACGGCCCAAACUCCUACGGGAGGCAGCAGUAGGGAAUCUUCGGCAAUGGACGAAAGUCUGACCGAGCAACGCAGCGUGAGUGAAGAAGGUUUUCGGAUCGUAAAACUCUGUUGGUAGAGAAGAACGUUGGUGAGAGUGGAAAGCUCAUCAAGUGACGGUAACUACCCAGAAAGGGACGGCUAACUACGUG